Molecule: ribosomal RNA, 507 nt
Filed under: uncultured bacterium
Lineage: Bacteria
Description: bacterial SSU rRNA
Rfam family: Bacterial small subunit ribosomal RNA
Source: RNAcentral
CUGGCUCAGGAUGAACGCUAGCGGCAGGCUUAACACAUGCAAGUCGAGGGGCAGCGGGAUGUAGCAAUACAUUGCCGGCGACCGGCGGAUGGGUGCGUAACGCGUAUGCAACCUACCUUAUACAGGGGAAUAACCUUUCGAAAGGGAGACUAACACCCCAUAGUAUUGAUUUAAGGCAUCUUAGAUUAAUUAAAUAUUUAUAGGUAUAAGAUGGGCAUGCGUAUGAUUAGCUAGUUGGUAAGGUAACGGCUUACCAAGGCGACGAUCAUUAGGGGUUCUGAGAGGAAGGUCCCCCACACUGGUACUGAGACACGGACCAGACUCCUACGGGAGGCAGCAGUGAGGAAUAUUGGUCAAUGGGCGCAAGCCUGAACCAGCCAUGCCGCGUGCAGGAAAGACGGCCUUAUGGGUUGUAAACUGCUUUUACAUAAGACUAACCGUAUAUUUGCGAAUAUACCUGAAUGUAUUAUGAGAAUAAGGAUCGGCUAACUCCGUGCCAGCAGCCGC